This 269-nucleotide unclassified non-coding RNA is filed under the name Hevea brasiliensis (rubber tree). The record is from RNAcentral. Lineage: Eukaryota; Viridiplantae; Streptophyta; Magnoliopsida; Malpighiales; Euphorbiaceae.
UGAAAGGAAUAAUUAAUAUUGAAGAUACGUGAGAUUGAUUUUCUACCCUUCUUAUUGCCAUCAUCAUCAUUAUCUUAAACAAAAUUAAUUCAUUGUAAACGCCCUUUAUUCAUCUUAACGACUAACGUAUUAUUGAAUAGAAUUAAAUUAUAUAACAAGUUUGAAGGAGUUGGAUUUAUCAUAUAAUGCAAUUGAAGGCUUUAAAUCUUCACAUAGUAGGAAUUGAUCUUUUAUUUCUUUCAUAUUUUUUUUGUUAAAUUAGCUACAAU